This 321-nucleotide long non-coding RNA is filed under the name Olea europaea (common olive). RNAcentral describes it as "long non-coding RNA (OEUR_LNC007429)". Lineage: Eukaryota; Viridiplantae; Streptophyta; Magnoliopsida; Lamiales; Oleaceae. The record is from RNAcentral.
GAAUACUUGAGCAGAAGAGAGGCAUCGAAGUUGGGUUUUGGAAGAUGAAAUUGUGUAAUCCAUAAGGUACGAAGUUCAAAGUUUUUAGAUUAGUUUUUAUGAAUUUUUGUUAUGUAAUGUCUAAAUCAAUCUUUGUUCUGUUCACCUUCCGAUGACUCUGCUGAUUAUUCUCAUAACUGAAGUUUAUGUUUGAUUCCGGCAAAUUAAGUCAAAGGGUCUAGGAAAAAAUAAUUGAAAAUCUCGUAUUGUUGAUUAUGUGCUGGUAUAUUACCGUUCUAGGGAACAUUUUUAUAUUAUGGAUUUCUUUACAAAUCGAAUACU